This 72-nucleotide transfer RNA is filed under the name Phrynosoma platyrhinos (Desert horned lizard). Its description in RNAcentral is "tRNA-OTHER". The record is from RNAcentral. Lineage: Eukaryota; Metazoa; Chordata; Lepidosauria; Squamata; Phrynosomatidae.
GAGUCAUUAAUGUAGUGGUUUGAGUGUUGGACUACAACUCUGAAGACCAGGGUUCAAUUCCCAGCAUGGUCA